This 1495-nucleotide ribosomal RNA is filed under the name Clostridium botulinum. RNAcentral's name for it is "bacterial SSU rRNA". It matches the Rfam family "Bacterial small subunit ribosomal RNA". Lineage: Bacteria; Bacillati; Bacillota; Clostridia; Eubacteriales; Clostridiaceae. The record is from RNAcentral.
GAGUUUGAUCCUGGCUCAGGACGAACGCUGGCGGCGUGCUUAACACAUGCAAGUCGAGCGAUGAAGCUUCCUUCGGGAAGUGGAUUAGCGGCGGACGGGUGAGUAACACGUGGGUAACCUACCUCAAAGUGGGGGAUAGCCUUCCGAAAGGAAGAUUAAUACCGCAUAAUAUGAGAGAAUCGCAUGAUUUUCUUAUCAAAGAUUUAUUGCUUUGAGAUGGACCCGCGGCGCAUUAGCUAGUUGGUAAGGUAACGGCUUACCAAGGCAACGAUGCGUAGCCGACCUGAGAGGGUGAUCGGCCACAUUGGAACUGAGACACGGUCCAGACUCCUACGGGAGGCAGCAGUGGGGAAUAUUGCGCAAUGGGGGAAACCCUGACGCAGCAACGCCGCGUGGGUGAUGAAGGUCUUCGGAUUGUAAAGCCUGUUUUCUAGGACGAUAAUGACGGUACUAGAGGAGGAAGCCACGGCUAACUACGUGCCAGCAGCCGGGUAAUACGUAGGUGGCGAGCGUUGUCCGGAUUUACUGGGCGUAAAGGGUGCGUAGGCGGAUGUUUAAGUGGGAUGUGAAAUCCCCGGGCUUAACCUGGGGGCUGCAUUCCAAACUGGAUAUCUAGAGUGCAGGAGAGGAAAGCGGAAUUCCUAGUGUAGCGGUGAAAUGCGUAGAGAUUAGGAAGAACACCAGUGGCGAAGGCGGCUUUCUGGACUGUAACUGACGCUGAGGCACGAAAGCGUGGGUAGCAAACAGGAUUAGAUACCCUGGUAGUCCACGCCGUAAACGAUGGAUACUAGGUGUAGGGGGUAUCAACUCCCCCUGUGCCGCAGUUAACACAAUAAGUAUCCCGCUGGGGAGUACGGUCGCAAGAUUAAAACUCAAAGGAAUUGACGGGGGCCCGCACAAGCAGCGGAGCAUGUGGUUUAAUUCGAAGCAACGCGAAGAACCUUACCUGGACUUGACAUCCCUUGCAUAGCCUAGAGAUAGGUGAAGCCCUUCGGGGCAAGGAGACAGGUGGUGCAUGGUUGUCGUCAGCUCGUGUCGUGAGAUGUUAGGUUAAGUCCUGCAACGAGCGCAACCCUUGUUAUUAGUUGCUACCAUUAAGUUGAGCACUCUAAUGAGACUGCCUGGGUAACCAGGAGGAAGGUGGGGAUGACGUCAAAUCAUCAUGCCCCUUAUGUCCAGGGCUACACACGUGCUACAAUGGUAGGUACAAUAAGACGCAAGACCGUGAGGUGGAGCAAAACUUAUAAAACCUAUCUCAGUUCGGAUUGUAGGCUGCAACUCGCCUACAUGAAGCUGGAGUUGCUAGUAAUCGCGAAUCAGAAUGUCGCGGUGAAUACGUUCCCGGGCCUUGUACACACCGCCCGUCACACCAUGAGAGCUGGUAACACCCGAAGUCCGUGAGGUAACCGUAAGGAGCCAGCGGCCGAAGGUGGGAUUAGUGAUUGGGGUGAAGUCGUAACAAGGUAGCCGUAGGAGAACCUGCGGCUGGAUCACC